UACGGAGGGGGUUAGCGUUGUUCGGAAUUACUGGGCGUAAAGCGNGCNGAGGCGGACCAGAAAAUGGGGGUGAAAUNCCGGGGCUCAACCCCGGAACGGACUCCAAAACUCCUGGNAUUGAGUUCGAGAGAGGUGAGUGGAAUUACGAGUGUAGAGGNGAAAUUCGUAGAUANUCGGAGGAACACCNGUGGCGAAGGCGGNUCACUGGCUCGAUACUGACGCUGAGGUGCGGAAGUGNGGGGCGCAAACACG
Molecule: ribosomal RNA, 252 nt
Filed under: uncultured bacterium
Lineage: Bacteria
Description: partial 16S ribosomal RNA
Rfam family: Bacterial small subunit ribosomal RNA
Source: RNAcentral